This 1095-nucleotide long non-coding RNA is filed under the name Corvus moneduloides (New Caledonian crow). RNAcentral's name for it is "lncRNA (ENSCMUG00000018541.1)". Lineage: Eukaryota; Metazoa; Chordata; Aves; Passeriformes; Corvidae. The record is from RNAcentral.
AUGUCCGCGGGGGUUCAGACCCAGAGCCCUGGGGGUGCAGUCCUGGAGCCCUUGGGGAGUUCAGCCCCGGAGCCCCAGCGUUUCCUGUCCUGUAUCCCCAUGAUUCAGCCCUAUAGCCCCAUGGCCCACAGCCCCAUAUCCGGAGGGUCCAGCCCUGUGUCCCGCGGGCACAGUCCUGGAGUCCCGAGGUGUUCAGCCCCAUGUCCUGGAGCCCCUGGGGGUGCAGUCCUGCAGUCCGUGUCCCCGAGGGGUCAGUCCCAUGUCCUGCAGUCCGUGACCCCGAGGGGUCAGUCCCACAGCCCCGGCGUGGCAAUCCCGUGUCCCGGGGGCCUCAGUCCCACAGCCCCGGGGGGCUCAGCCCCCUGUCCUGGGGGAUUCAGCCCCCCAGUCCUGCAGCCCCCUGUCCCGGGGGGUCCAGCCCGCUGUCCCGGAGGUUCAGCCCCGUGUCCCGGCGCGGCCCCGCAGCCGGGGGCGGCCCGUCCCCCCUUGUCCCCCCGCGCCAGCCCUCACCCCCCGACCUCCUCCGUGUCCUCCUCCUCCCUCCUGUCCCCCCUUCUCCCCUGUGUCACCCCCGGAGCCGCCCGCGCCGCCUCCGUCGCUCGCUGCGGCCUCUCCCGGCUCGGCCCGGCCCCGGCUCGGCCCCGCUCCGCCCCGGCCCGGCCCCGCUCCGCCCCUGCGGCCUGCCCGGUACGGCGGGGCCGGGGGGACACCGGGGUCCUGCAGGGGGCGGCGGGGCCGGGGCGGAGGGAGCGGAGCGAGGCCGGGGCCCAGCGGGGCCCAGCGGGGCCCGGGCCCGGAGCUGCGGCCCGCGGGGACGGGAGGGGCCGGGGCUGGGCGGCCACAGGGGCCCGGGGGGCUGAACGGGGGUCCCGGGGGGCUGAUGAGGUUGGAGGGUCUGAAUUGGGGGACCCGGUUACAUUCUCCCGGGGGGUGGGUUUGGGGGAGGUCCUGACUUGGGGGUUUGAAUUUGGGGUCUGGGGGCUUUAUUUGGGAGUCCCAGGAGUCCUGGCCAGGGGGUGCAGGGGGGUUUGGGGUACCCUGGCCGCGUUCUCCAAGGCGUGGUUUUGGGGAGCCUGGGGGUCCCGGGGGUCCUGA